ACGUAGGGGGCGAGCGUUGUCCGGAAUUACUGGGCGUAAAGGGCGUGUAGGCGGCCAAGUAAGUCAGUCGUGAAACCCAGCGGCUUAACCGCUGGCUUGCGAUAGAAACUGCCUGGCUUGAGUGCAGUAGAGGGGAGUGGAAUUCCCAGUGUAGCGGUGAAAUGCGUAGAUAUUGGGAGGAACACCAGUGGCGAAAGCGGCUCCCUGGCCUGCAACUGACGCUGAGGCGCGAAAGCGUGGGUAGCAAACAGGA
Molecule: ribosomal RNA, 253 nt
Filed under: uncultured prokaryote
Description: partial 16S ribosomal RNA
Rfam family: Bacterial small subunit ribosomal RNA
Source: RNAcentral